This is an RNA transcript of Rana temporaria (common frog), 5939 nucleotides long. It is a transcript of the gene named apoptosis associated tyrosine kinase, with no coding region annotated. The transcript is spliced from 14 exons. NCBI's taxonomy places the organism in Eukaryota, Metazoa, Chordata, Amphibia, Anura, Ranidae. The record is from RefSeq and is a predicted model, not a curated record.
AUUCGGAGGGCAGCUGAGCGUUGUUAAUGUGCCAGGCAGAGACGGGGAAGCCUGGCAGAGCAGCGCAAGAUGAAUCGCAGGGACGUGUAAUGGCAGCGCCAGUCGCCUCCUGGGUCCCGGUCACCCCACUCAGGACAUGCUGACCCUUUCCUACUUAAUCGCCGGUGCAGCUUUUGGGAUUAAAGGCUUUUCGUGGCUACAUGGAGAGGAGCUGGACAAUGUGGAGGGAGAAGAUUACACCACCGAGUUCUCCGUCCAGAGUUCCCCGGCACCUCAGAAUGGACCCGAGGUUUACGUUCUGCCGCUUACCGAGGUCUCUGUGCCGAUGUCCAAGCAGCCCGGGAGAUCAGUGCAACUUCUCAAAUCCACCGACCUGGGAAGACAGAGCUUGCUGUACCUGAAGGAGAUAGGCCGAGGCUGGUUUGGCAAGGUGCUGCUGGGGGAGGUAAAUGCGGGGCUCGCCAGCACCCAGGUGGUGGUGAAGGAGCUGAAAGUCAGCGCCAGUGUCCAGGAGCAGAUGCUCUUCCUAGAGGAGACUCAGCCGUACCGAGUCCUCCAGCACCCCAACCUUCUUCAGUGCCUGGUGCAAUGUACGGAGAUCACCCCCUACCUGCUGGUGAUGGAGUUCUGCCCCCUGGGGGACCUGAAGGAAUAUCUGCAGAGCUGUGCGGCCUCCGAGUCCACCGCGCCGGACCCCCUGACCCUGCAGAGGAUAGGCUGCGAAGUGUGCUGCGGGCUGCUCCACCUACACAAGAACAACUUCACACACAGCGACCUCGCCCUGCGCAACUGUCUCCUGGCCGCCGAUAUGACGGUGAAAAUCGGUGACUACGGGGUGGCCCAUUCCAAAUAUCGGGAUGAUUACCUGGUGACGUCCGACCAACUGUGGGUCCCUCUGCGCUGGAUCGCGCCGGAGCUCAUUGAUGAAGUACACGGGAACCUCCUGGUGGUGGACCAGACCAAGACCAGCAACAUCUGGUCCCUGGGAGUCGCACUCUGGGAGCUCUUCGAAUUGGGCCGCCAGCCCUACGAGACGUAUUCCGACCGCCAGGUCCUCAGCUAUGUCAUCAAGGAGCAGCAACUCAAACUACCGAAGCCGCAGCUCAAGCAACUGCAGUCAGACCGCUGGUAUGAGGUGAUGCAGUUUUGCUGGCUGCAGCCUGAUCAGAGACCAACCGUGGAAGAGGUCCAUCUACUACUUUCAUACCUGACUGUGAAGGGAUCUGGCGAGCUGGAGGAAGAGUUUGAGAAGCGUUGGAACUCUAUGAAACCCAAUGGUGGAACAGAUGGCGGUCCUCACCAUGAGCCCGAGCUGUCCUCUUACCCUCUGCUGGAGCACUUUUCUUCGGAUGGGUUUCACUCAGAUGGAGAUGAUGUGCUGACAGUAACUCAGACCAGCCAAGGGCUUAACUUUGAGUACAAAUGGGAGCGUGGGCGGCAUGAGCAAUAUCCACUGAGCCCUGGGUGCCAGCCUUACCAAGAUAUGUACUAUACAACCAGCACUGGUGAAAGACUCAGUCUUGGCGUGUCACCAUCUGGCUACGAUGAGAAGGACUGCAACCCAAACUCACGCCCGCUUGAGCUGGUACCCGUUCUGAGUGCUCGGAGCCCUUCAGUGGCAGGAGACUACUAUAUUCGUAUUGAAGAGCCUUUGGGGAGCAACGUCGAGCAGGACUACAGCCCACAGCAUGAAGAGAACGGCGUAAAACAAAAGCAGGAACUUUCAACAGAGGACCAACCAUGUGAAGAUAGUCCUUCUAUAAGCCUUUCCAUGGAGCCCUUGCUGGAAGUUGUCUGUUCUGCCAGGGAUGAUAGCUCAGUCAAUCAGGCCAAAAACCAAUGCUCCAGCCCCUCCUAUGGAGGUGAGGCAAAGGAGAAGAACGUGCUUGACUGUUCAAUAGAGGACAAUAAUGACUCCAGUGUAUUUAAUGACCCCCUUGGGUCCUCUCUAUCGUUAAAUCAGCUUGGCCUAAAUGAGGCAGAAAAGAUGGCGGCUCCAGAGACUGAGGACUGUAGUUUCACCUGUAGAGACCCUUUAGAUUUGGCUGCAGUGAAGCGUGACGGUGAAGAUCUAGAGCAGAUGGGCUUUCAGGAGGACCUGUCACCGAAGACCUCUUGUCCUGUUGCGUUCUCUCCACACUGGGCAUCCAACAUCUCCUCAAAUAAUAACGUCUCCAGUGAACCGCAACAGGCGCUUGGCAUUUGGUUCAAUCCACGCUCCGAGGACUCCCAGACUGGUGAGACUGAACCAUUUGGUCCUGAAUCGUGGCAGAUUGCAGAGUCUGGGGAGGGGGACAAUGUCGCUUCUUCAACAACGGCGGAGGAUCAGUUUUACGACGCCGAGGAGUUUGCAAUGCACGAGCGUUCGGUGGAAGCGGUUUCCGGAGACUCACACCUCCAGGUCUCUUCUCCUGUGUCGGAAGCAUGUGAUAUUAAAUCCUCGACAUUGCAAUCAGAUGAAAUCCGCCAUCCUCUAGCAUCCCCAGACAGUGAAGAAGUGACCCCUGAAUUAGAAAUGGAUCCUCUCGGAGUUUGUUUUAUAGAACGUUGCGAGCCUCCUACACAUGACCUUCACAUAACAGAGGAGGACAUAUCUGUCGCUGGAUCUCAGGGGGCUUCCCUACAAAGCUUAUCAGAUGAACACUGUCAUCUCAGCAAGGAUAAAGACUUUUAUCAAACUCCCAGUGACAGCGAUGAUGAAGACACCAUGGAGCUGACUUCAGGGGUCUUCACAGACCUGUCUAGUGAGAGAGGAGACACGGCCCCGUCUUUCAGAUCCCUACAGAAACAGGUCGGGACCCCGGAUUCACUGGACUCCCUGGACAUGCCAUCAACUGCAAGCUCCUGUGAUGCCUUCAGCCUUGGAACCUAUGCCCCUUCUGCCCAACAUAAAGCACUGGACAGCGGUUACGACACGGAAAAUUACGAGUCUCCAGAAUUUGUGUUAAAAGAACCACAAGAGAGCCGGGAGACUGAGGGAUAUUAUCAGCUGAGCCAACCUCCAGAACAGAGCCUGGAACCUGGAGACAUGCCAAUGUCCCGCUCGGUCAGCAGCGACUUACAAGGUCUGGAUGCCAAGAACCCCUACAGAGACUCUGCCUAUUUCUCCGACUACGACUCCUUUAAUCGGGAAGAAGAGGAGGAAGGAGACCAAGGUGAAGAAAGGGAAGAGGAAGGAGCCACAAAGACUAAUCCCUGUGUAGAUCUAAACAUGGAACCCACAGAACCUAACCUAAUAGAAAGCACUGAGAACCUAAAGGAUGACCAAGGCCAAUGCCCAGCCACUGUAGAGACGGAUAAACCUCCUUCCCCUUUGCCUGCGUUACCUUCAUCUGACUCCCUGCUUCAGCUGCCUCUCAUCAUAAGAGAAGAGUCUGUAGAUGAGGGCUUGGGCUUAGAAUGUUCUAAAGACUCUUCUCUUGAUAAGCAACCCACCACAAGUUCCACCGUCAAGUCGUCCUCGCACAGAACCUUUACCCUGUCCCCUGUCCAGCUUUGUCUCACCAAAGCAUGCACUGUAAAGCAGGGCUCAGCCGGAAGCAUCACUUUGACCACUGGGCUUCAGCCAGAAGAGAAGACGACUUCCAACAGGGAAUCCUCGGGGGCGUGCCACCUGUCCAAAUGCGUCUCGCCUCCUCUUAUCCGAAAGGAGGGCAGAGUGGGCGACUCCACCGAUGACGACGAAGAGGAGGAAGAGAGUGAGGACAGCGAUGAAUCCGACGAGGAGCUCCGCUGCUACAACAUCCAGGAGCACAGCGAAGAGAGCGAAGAGGAACAUCCCGCCAUCCCCAUUGUUAUCACUGAUAACGCCAGCGCUAGCCACUUGCGAAGUCUUCUAAAGACGCCCAACUUCUUGCCCCAGACUGCCUCCGAGGAUUCCGAUCGGAAGAAGAAGGCUGUAUCUUUCUACGAUGAUGUUACUGUCUAUCUAUUUGAUCAGGAGAGUCCAACACUGGAUGGGGCAGAUCAGGAGAUCCCAGAACUGCCAUCUGUACUGCAGGAGGUCCAGCAGAUAACCUAUAAGGAGUCCUCCAACCACCUCUUAGAUGGCAGCUUUGGAUGGGACGGUGAUUUGCAUGUUAAACCCGUGAGAAGCUCCUUCGUCACCUCGCUCUCACCGGCCAUGUUGAACACGGAAGUGAACAGAACCCCGGAGCCCGUCCAGAAGCCGGCGCUGCCCGUUCAACUCUCCAGGUUCAGCGUGUCUCCGACCGCCGUGUCCCGGUUCUCCAUAACGCAGGUGGCGGAUAAUGCCGCGGGGCCACUGGAAGAUAAGGCGCAACCCAAAGAGAAGAUCUGAAGGUUCUGGAAGGAUCUGGGAUUUCUCAGGACAGGAGGACGUGUGCUGCAGAUCUGGAGGUCAUGGAGAACCUUUAUACUGUUACUUCUCUGCCGCGGCCCGGGAAACACCGGCACGAGCGCCGACCGCCGCCGAGUGUGUGUGCGCCGGGCUGGACUGACACCGCAGCCUCUCAUCCCGGGGACUUUCUUUUCUUUGUGAUUUGCACUCGAGAAAUCUUUGGACUUGACCUGAAGUGUCUACAGGUUUGAGUGUUUUCCUAUGAGUGUUCGUUGGCGUGGGAGGGUCCUUUUGAGCGUGGGAAGGUCCUAUGAGCGUUCGUUGGCGUGGGAGGGUCCUUUUGAGCGUAGGAAGGUCCUAUGAGCGUUUGUUGGCGUGGGAGGGUCCUAUGAGCAUGGGAGGGUCCUAAUGAGCGUUUGUUGGCGUGGGAGGGUCCUAUGUAUGGAUGUAUAUAGGCACAUCUGUAAAAUGUAUGCGUGUGGUUUGUGAAUGGAUUAGUUACUCUGUGUAUAUAGCUAUAUAUAUAUAUAAAUUUAUAAAGGCAUUACUCUUAGAAAGACAGUUAAAGUGUACCUGUCAACAGAGCUGUAUUGUAGGGCAUUAUGAAAUUGCUCAAUUUUAAUUUUUGGGCAGUCUGUUACCUCGUUCUCUCCACCCGUCCCCCAGUGUCCUAUCUUUAGGAACAAGUGGUAGGUCAAGGACUGUGUGAGGCCUGAACCUCUCACUGUACAGCUCACACAAUGGGAGGCUAAGGGCUGUAUGAGGCCCUGGACCCCUCAAUAUGCAACUUGCAUGUGAUGGAAGGCCAAGGGCUGUAUGAGUCCCUGGGCCCCUCACUUUGCAGCUUAUGUGUGCUGGGCGGCCAAGGACUGUAUAAGGCCCUGGACCCCUCACUCCUGCAGCUCACAUGUGAUUGGAGGGUCAGGGGCUGUGAGAGGUCUAGGGCUGUGCUCAGCCUGUGGACCCCUCACUCCUGCAGCUCACAUGUGAUGGAUGGCCAAGGGCUGUACGAGUCCCUGGACCCAUCUCCCUGCAAUUCACAUGUGAUGGGAGGCCAAGGGCUGUAUGAGACCCUGGACCCAUCACUUUGCAGCUCACCUGUGAUUGGAGGGUCAGGGGCUGUGAGAGGUCUAGGGCUGUGCUUGGCUUUGACCCCUCACUCCUGCAGCUCACAUGUGAUUGGAGGGUCAGGGGCUGUGAGAGGUCUAGGGCUGUGCUUGGCUUUGACCCCUCACUCCUGCAGCUCACAUGUGAUUGGAGGGUCAGGAGCUGUGAGAGGUCUAGGGCUGUGCUCGGCCUGGACCCCUCACUCCUGCAGCUCACAUGUGAUUGGAGGGUCAGGGGCUGUGAGAGGUCUAGGGCUGUGCUCGGCCUGGACCCCUCACUCUUGCAGCUCACAUGUGAUGGAAGGCCAAGGGCUUGUAAGAGUCCCUGGACCCAUCACUCUGCAAUUCACAUGUGAUGGGAGGCCAAGGGCUGUACGAGUCCCUGGACCCAUCACUCUGCAAUUCACAUGUGAUGGGAGGCCAAGGGCUGUACGAGUCCCUGGACACCCGUCACUUUGCAGCUCCCGUGUGAUUGGAGGGUCAAACACUGUGUGAGGUCUAGGGCUGUGCUUGGCCUGGACCCCUCACUCCUG